AUGUUGUUUGAAGGUCCCAGGUUCAUUCCCAUCUACGAGAUCAGCUAUGAUGCUCUGCUUCAUAUGGAUAAGGAGAAUACUGUUGGGCAAGACAACAGUAAACUGCUAACUAGGAACUGGGGUGAUCUGAGCAAGGGUUUUUAUCGACACGUGAAAGGAAAAAUGAGUUUUACCCUAGAGGGAAAUACACCAGAGAAUGUCAGGAAGGCUGCUACCACCUUAAGAAUCAUGUCCAGAACGGAAUGGGAUAAGUGGGGUGGACGAGUACGGGAGUGGCCAGAGCAGCAGCAGCAGCAGCAGGUGUUAGGCUCCUUCAUUAAGAGUGAAAAGUAA
Molecule: ribosomal RNA, 333 nt
Filed under: Triticum aestivum (bread wheat)
Lineage: Eukaryota; Viridiplantae; Streptophyta; Magnoliopsida; Poales; Poaceae
Description: partial small subunit ribosomal RNA
Source: RNAcentral